CGCGGCCUAUCAGCUUGUUGGUGAGGUAACGGCUCACCAAGGCAUCGACGGGUAGCUGGUCUGAGAGGAUGAUCAGCCACACUGGAACUGAGACACGGUCCAGACUCCUACGGGAGGCAGCAGUGGGGAAUAUUGCACAAUGGGCGCAAGCCUGAUGCAGCAACGCCGCGUGCGGGAAGAAGGCCCUAGGGUUGUAAACCGCUUUCAGCAGGGAAGAAAAUGACGGUACCUGCAGAAGAAGGUGCGGCCAACUACGUGCCAGCAGCCGCGGUGACACGUAGGCACCAAGCGUUGUCCGGAUUUAUUGGGCGUAAAGAGCUCGUAGGCGGUUCAGUAAGUCGGGUGUGAAAACUCUGGGCUCAACCCAGAGAGGCCACCCGAUACUGCUGUGACUUGAGUACGGUAGGGGAGCGGGGAAUUCCUGGUGUAGCGGUGAAAUGCGCAGAUAUCAGGAGGAACACCAGUGGCGAAGGCGCCGCUCUGGGCCGUAACUGACGCUGAGGAGCGAAAGCAUGGGUAGCAAACAGGAUUAGAUACCCUGGUAGUCCAUGCCGUAAACGUUGGGCACUAGGUGUGGGUCUCAACCAACGAGAUCCGCGCCGUCGCUAACGCAUUAAGUGCCCCGCCUGGGGAGUACGG
This 639-nucleotide ribosomal RNA is filed under the name uncultured bacterium. RNAcentral's name for it is "bacterial SSU rRNA". It matches the Rfam family "Bacterial small subunit ribosomal RNA", at positions 232 to 885 of the family's 1533-position model. The record is from RNAcentral.